Molecule: ribosomal RNA, 315 nt
Filed under: uncultured bacterium
Lineage: Bacteria
Description: bacterial SSU rRNA
Rfam family: Bacterial small subunit ribosomal RNA
Source: RNAcentral
GAUGAACACUAGCUACAGGCUUAACACAUGCAAGUCGAGGGCAGCACAGUGUAGCAAUACAUGGGUGGCGACCGGCGCACGGGUGCGUAACGCGUAUCCAACCUUCCCGUUACUCAGGGAUAGCCUUCCGAAAGGGAGAUUAAUACCUGAUGGUGUUUGAAUUCCGCAUGUUAUUCAAACUAAAGAUUUAUCGGUAACGGAUGGGGAUGCGUGACAUUAGAUAGUAGGCGGGUAACGCCCACUAGUCUACGAUGUCUAGGGGUUCUGAGAGGAAGGUCCCCCACACUGGAACUGAGACACGGUCCAGACUCCUAC